This 321-nucleotide long non-coding RNA is filed under the name Olea europaea (common olive). RNAcentral's name for it is "long non-coding RNA (OEUR_LNC001410)". Lineage: Eukaryota; Viridiplantae; Streptophyta; Magnoliopsida; Lamiales; Oleaceae. The record is from RNAcentral.
AAUUGACCAUAAUGUUGUUUCAAUUGCUGCCAUGAAAAGCACAUCACAUCAUUAAAUAAUUAAAAAUAGUAAGUUUUGAGUAUGAAAUCAAAUCGUAUCUAUCUAACUACACCAAACCUAAUCUAAACAAGAAGCACAUACGAGUAUGCUCGGCUAAGCUUACAAACUUUUUUUAAAAUAAAUCUUUACUUCUCGAGAGGAUAAUAUUUUUCUAAACUUAGCCGAACAUGCUCUACAGACUGGUGGGAACGUCAUGGCGAUUAAAUCAAAAGUGGGUUAGGUAAGCAAAUUGCUAUUAGUUAAUGCUGGCGGGUGUGGGUG